This 1085-nucleotide long non-coding RNA is filed under the name Ananas comosus (pineapple). Its description in RNAcentral is "long non-coding RNA (ACOM_LNC010942)". The record is from RNAcentral. Lineage: Eukaryota; Viridiplantae; Streptophyta; Magnoliopsida; Poales; Bromeliaceae.
GGGUUAAUUACAUACAGCUUUCUGUAAACAUAUUGAAUAGCAGAUAUAACUCUACAAAAUUUAACUUUUAUAUUUAUUUUUAUAAAAAUUUUAACAUUUUUAAAUAUAACUCUAAAUCCGUUAGAAAAAUAUAGUUAAUAAUGAGUAAAAUACUUAAUUUGAUUAAUGAAUAAGGUAAAUUAAACUUUUUACUCUUCUUAUAUUAUUUGUGAUGGUAAAAAAGAAUAAAAAUGACUGUUGGAGAUUUUCGGAAGUAUAUUUCUACAUAACUUUUACAGUCGAGAAUUUUAGAGGGACACAUUUGUGAUAGCAAAAAUAUUAUUUCAUAUCUUUUGUUAAAAAAUAAAUAAUACUCUAACAGUAGCAAACCAAAUGGACGAAUAUGAAUAUUAUUGAAUUUUUAUAGAAAUAAAUAUAAAAAGUUAAACUAUAUGUUUAGAUAGAGCGGUAUAAAAUUAACUCUGUAUUUUAUAUCUCAUUUAUCUAGUAAGAAUCAAAUGAACAGUAAAAAUGUCUCACUUAUUAAAUGUACAUGUGGUUCUUUUGGAGUGUGUAAGUAGCAUUUAUGGGAAAACUUCAAAUAACCCCAUGUGGUUUCAUUUUUUCUCACUUUAGUACCUUAUAGUUUAAAGUGUAUCAAGUUAGUUUCCUGUGGUUUUGCACUUUUUCACUUUAGUAUCUUACGGUUUAAAAUGUAUCAAGGUAGUACCCUGUAGUUUCGCACUUUAUCACUUUAGUACCCUGUGGUUUAAAAACCACAUGGUACUAACUUGAUACAAAAAUAAAACCACAGGAUACUAACUUGAGAUAAAAAUAAAAUCAUAGAGUACUAACUUGAUACACUUUAAAUUACAGAGUACUAAAGUAAUAAAGUGAGAAACCACAAAGUACUAAUUUGAUAUAUUUUAAAUCAUAGGAUACUAAAAUGAAAAGGUGCGAAACCACAAGAGGAGUAUUUUGAAGUUUUUUCAAAAAUAAACAAUACUCUAACAGUAACAAACCAAAGGAACGAGUAUGAAUAUUAUUAAAUUUUUAUAGAAAUAAAUAUAAAAAGUUGAACUAUAUGUUUAGAUAGAGCGGUAUAA